This 291-nucleotide ribosomal RNA is filed under the name Gracilaria silviae. RNAcentral describes it as "partial large subunit ribosomal RNA". It matches the Rfam family "Bacterial large subunit ribosomal RNA", at positions 2143 to 2431 of the family's 2925-position model. Lineage: Eukaryota; Rhodophyta; Florideophyceae; Gracilariales; Gracilariaceae. The record is from RNAcentral.
AUAGGUGGGAGGCAAAGAAGAUAUGUUUGCGGAUGUAUAUGAGCCAUUAGUGAGAUACCACUCUGAUUAAACUAGAAUUCUAAUAUUGAUUGCCAUAAGCUGGCCAAUAGACAGUUUCAGGUGGGCAGUUUGACUGGGGCGGUCGCCUCCUAAAAGGUAACGGAGGCGUGCAAAGGUUUCCUCAGGCUGGUCGGAAAUCAGUCGUAGAGUAUAAAGGCAUAAGGAAGCUUGACUGCAAGACCUACAAGUCGAGCAGAGACGAAAGUCGGCCUUAGUGAUCCGACAGUGCUG